Molecule: ribosomal RNA, 20 nt
Filed under: Eimeria maxima
Lineage: Eukaryota; Apicomplexa; Conoidasida; Eucoccidiorida; Eimeriidae
Description: partial 28S ribosomal RNA
Source: RNAcentral
UAGACCUGAAAUCAGGCGAG